AGGGAUUGCCCUAGUAACGGCGAGUGAAGCGGCAACAGCUCAAAUUUGAAAGCUAGCCUUCGGGUUCGCAUUGUAAUUUGUAGAGGAUGAUUUGGGGAAGCCGCCUGUCUAAGUUCCUUGGAACAGGACGUCAUAGAGGGUGAGAAUCCCGUAUGUGACAGGAAAUGGCACCCUAUGUAAAUCUCCUUCGACGAGUCGAGUUGUUUGGGAAUGCAGCUCUAAAUGGGAGGUAAAUUUCUUCUAAAGCUAAAUAUUGGCGAGAGACCGAUAGCGCACAAGUAGAGUGAUCGAAAGAUGAAAAGCACUUUGGAAAGAGAGUUAAAAAGCACGUGAAAUUGUUGAAAGGGAAGCGCUUGCAAUCAGACUUGUUUAAACUGUUCGGCCGGUCUUCUGACCGGUUUACUCAGUUUGGACAGGCCAGCAUCAGUUUCGGCGGCCGGAUAAAGGCUCUGGGAAUGUGGCCUCCACUUCGGUGGAGGUGUUAUAGCCCAGGGUGUAAUACGGCCAGCCGGGACUGAGGUCCGCGCUUCGGCUAGGAUGCUGGC
RNAcentral lists this ribosomal RNA (545 nucleotides) under Aureobasidium proteae. RNAcentral describes it as "eukaryotic LSU rRNA". It matches the Rfam family "Eukaryotic large subunit ribosomal RNA", at positions 70 to 630 of the family's 3401-position model. The record is from RNAcentral. Lineage: Eukaryota; Fungi; Ascomycota; Dothideomycetes; Dothideales; Saccotheciaceae.